UGGGCAACCUGCCCUGUACUGGGGAAUAAUCAUUGGAAACGAUGACUAAUACCGCAUGUGGUCCUCGGAAGGCAUCUUCUGAGGAAGAAAGGAUUUAUUCGGUACAGGAUGGGCCCGCAUCUGAUUAGCUAGUUGGUGAGAUAACAGCCCACCAAGGCGACGAUCAGUAGCCGACCUGAGAGGGUGAUCGGCCACAUUGGGACUGAGAUACGGCCCAG
Molecule: ribosomal RNA, 218 nt
Filed under: uncultured bacterium
Lineage: Bacteria
Description: partial 16S ribosomal RNA
Rfam family: Bacterial small subunit ribosomal RNA
Source: RNAcentral